This 407-nucleotide ribosomal RNA is filed under the name uncultured bacterium. RNAcentral describes it as "bacterial SSU rRNA". It matches the Rfam family "Bacterial small subunit ribosomal RNA", at positions 505 to 916 of the family's 1533-position model. The record is from RNAcentral.
GUGUCAGCCGCCGCGGUAAUACGUAAGCCCCGAGCAUUACUCGGAAUUAUUGGGUGUAAAGGGUUCGUAGGCGGAUCUGAAAGUUGGAUAUGAAAGACCGAAGCUCAACUUCGCGUUUGUGUUCAAAACUCCAGGUCUAGAAUUAGGGAGAGGUAAGCGGAAUUCUAAGUGUAGGGGUGCAAUCCGUAGAUACUUAGAAGAACACCAAAAGCGAAGGCAGCUUACUGGAACUAUAUUGACGCUGAGGAACGAAAGCGUGGGUAGCGAAAAGGAUUAGAUACCCUUGUAGUCCACGCCCUAAACGAUGAUAACUAAGUGUUGGGGAUUGCCCCAGUGCUGUAGCUAACGCGUUAAGUUAUCCACCUGGGGAGUACGGGCGCAAGCUUAAAACUCAAAGGAAUUGACGG